CAGUAGUCACGAGUUUGAUCCUGGCUCAGAACGAACGCUGGCGGCAUGCCUAACACAUGCAAGUCGAGGGGGUAUUGGUUUUCGGACCAAGAGACCGGCGCACGGGUGCGUAACGCGUGGGAAUCUGCCCCUUGGUUCGGAAUAACAGCGAGAAAUUGCUGCUAAUACCGGAUAAUGACGUAAGUCCAAAGAUUUAUCGCCAUGGGAUGAGCCCGCGUAGGAUUAGCUAGUUGGUGUGGUAAAGGCGCACCAAGGCGACGAUCCUUAGCUGGUCUGAGAGGAUGAUCAGCCGCACUGGGACUGAGACACGGCCCAGACUCCUACGGGAGGCAGCAGUGGGGAAUAUUGGACAAUGGGCGAAAGCCUGAUCCAGCAAUGCCGCGUGAGUGAUGAAGGCCUUAGGGUUGUAAAGCUCUUUUACCCGGGAUGAUAAUGACAGUACCGGGAGAAUAAGCUCCGGCUAACUCCGUG
Molecule: ribosomal RNA, 471 nt
Filed under: uncultured bacterium
Lineage: Bacteria
Description: bacterial SSU rRNA
Rfam family: Bacterial small subunit ribosomal RNA
Source: RNAcentral